UACAUAAUGAUGAAUUCAAAAGACAGUUUCAGAGACCUAACAUAGUUAAAGAGAUCACAAAAAGAAGACUCAUGUAGGGGGGGGCAUGCCUGGCGUAAGCAAGGAUCUCUAGUUAGACAGAUAAUAGAGAAUGAACCAAUAGGUAAAAGACCUCUAGGAAGAUCCAGAUUGAGGUGGGAAGACUGUGUUAAAAAGGACUUAAAAAUGAUAGAUCCAGGAAUCAGAUGGAGAGAAGCUGCAGAGGAUAGGGACAGAUGGCAAGAUUUGAAUUUAGCGGUAUGGUCUUAAGGGCCGAAACCAAAAAGAAGAAGAAGAUUAUAGCUGAAUCUUCUUCAAUGCAUAAAUUAAAAAUUGAACUAGACUAAGCGCCAAACUGUGAACAGUUAGCUAAUGCUUCCAUGUAUCCCAAGUACAGGACUGUGCGAUUUUGGUAUGAUCAAUGGAAAAAAAUUCAUCUUGGACCUGUCUCAGGAGUUGGUGUUAUACAAGUAAAUUCUGUACUACUGAUGUAAAUCUGUAUCGAUUUUCUUACCAUUAUCAUUUAUCAUUAAUUUAUAAUAAGUCAUUACUCAUUAUUAACUGGAAAAUAUCUGUUUUGUGUAUAUUUGAUAGUAUAUAAUAUUGUAAUGCAUAUUGCUGCCAUUAUUUUACGUUCCUCUUAUCGUUGUGCGCUGUAGUGUUGGCAGCAUUUAGCGCUAUCAGUAGUCAGCUGCCGCGAUGAGGCACAUGAUAAUUGCCCAUUUUUUUCAUCAUAAUCGUUAAUUAUAAAUUUAUAAAUAUAUAUUAUUUUGUAUUCUUGUUGUUUUUUUCGUCCAUUAUACAUACCUUGUGCAAUACCGGCUUAUUAUUGUAUUUACCUACUUAGACGUCUUAGACACCUAGUCCUUUUUUUGGCCGUUCUUGCAAACCUCUUGAGGUGAAUAUCGUUGAUUUUUUGUGGUCUGCUGUGAUCAACGCUGGUAUUUUUGUUCUAUUGUCUGGUAAUUAUGGUUCGGAAACUCUAAUUUGAAAAUUAUAUUUAUGGUAUUAUUGUUUUAGUCUAGGGUUGUCAUUUUACCAGCAGUAGGACAAUUUUGACGUUUCGUCCAGAAUAUAUGGUUUUGGACUUGGUUUAUUGUUUGUUAGCUGCAUAACUGCUAGCUGUGGUGUUUGUAUUUUUUUUAGUCUAACCACUUACGGGUAAACAUGGAGUGAAAUUGUUGGGUCUUCAUUGAGAUAGUUUUGUAUUACGCACCUCGCACGUGAUUUGUCUCGAACCCAACCCAAAAAUUAAAUUACAUUAUAUAAUAUAUUAUUUACUAUUAAAAUUUUAAAAUAUAAACAAAUCAGGUAGUAGGCGCUCUUUAAAAAUAAUGUUUCUCAAGCUUUUUUGUCUACAUGCAUUGGCGUAUUUAUGAUUUUAUAUCCACUGGUAUCUACAUGUGUAUUUUUUUUUCUUAAAUCAGUUAAAUCUUUUUUUUAAAUUGUUUUAAUGAUUUUUUUAUUGUAUAAAAUCAUUGCUUAAAUCAAAUUUAAGAACAGAUUAGGAUGAACUAUUUAAAGAAUAAUUCUGUGCUAUCUUAAGUGAUAUCUAGAUAAAAAGUAUAUAGAUACAAAUUAAGUACCUACAUCUUAUUUAGAUAAAUAAAUAAAUUAGUAUCUAAUUGGUAAUCAAGAUUUAAAUUAUGGAAAUCUACAUAAAUCUCGUUGAGUUAUGUACUUGUAUUUUUUCAAUAAUCGUUUACUCAUUUAAUUAUUUUAUAACAAAUAUAAUAUUACCACAAUACUAUCUAUAUGUAGUAUACAGAGUGUAACUCGUCUAUUUGACCUUAUUGUAUUUGUCAAAUAGACGAGUUACACUCUGUAUAUGAGUACAAAAUAAUAAUAGAAUUUGAUAGGCUGUGUCCCUGUAAUAAUUUUUAUGCUACAAUAUUUUAAUGUUCAGUAAAUCUUUUAACUAGUUCAACGUUUAUAUUUAUUCAUAUAUUAAAAUAUUUAGAGUUCGCUUGCUGAUGUUGUUAUCAAGUACUCAAGUGACAUCUUGACGUAUUAAUUUUAAACACCAAAUUAUAUAAAUACAAAUCAAUUUAAACUUUGGAAAGUGAUAUAUUUUUAUACAAAUUUCCUAAACUGAGGGUCAAAAUGUUUUAAUUUUUUUCAUAGUAUUCUGGCAUCCAAAUGCCCCUUAAACAUCUGAUGCCGGGGCAAAUGCCCUUAAAACCCUCUGUCAAUUCCGGCCCUGAGUCCACCUAUAACAUAUUUAUUUAUUUGUAUAACGACAAAUAUUGUCUACUAUUGCUGUGGUCACUUUAUGCGCUAACAAUAUCAACUUUUAAAAAAUGUAUGGUUGUACCUUUGUUUAAAACAGGACAUAAAUUAUUAUAAUAUUAUGUGGUAAUUAUCAACCAAUCACUUUAUCUUUAACGUUUACUAAAAUUUUCAAAAAAUGUAUAAGGUCAGAAUAGUAAAUUUUUUAGAUAAAAUUUCUUUUCAAGUAAACAAUUUGGAUUCAGAUCUGGAUAAUCAACAACAGUUGCACUUUUUGAGAUUGAUAGCUUUAUAAUAAAUAAUAUGGAUGAUAAUAACAAAGUAUUAGGUAUUUUCCUUGAUAUUCAAAAAGUGUUUGAUUGUGUAGAUCAUAAGAUAUUAUUGAAUAAACUGAAUCAGUCUGGCAUUAGAGGAAUACCAAAUGAUCUUAUAAAAUAAUUUUUAAAUGAAAGAACUUAAAGAGUUAAAAUAGAUGAUACUUAUAGUGAAUCACUUAACAUAUAAUAACUUGUGGUGUUCCCCAAGGCACAAUAUUGAGUGUGGGUCCUCUUUUAUUCAUUAUUUUUAUAAAUUAUUAUGUUUUAAAAAUACAAAAUAAUACGUAUUACGUAUAUUGAAUUAUUCAGUUUUGCUGAUGACACUGCUAUAUUAGUAGCUGACAAAUCAAUUGAUAAAUUACUUAAUGAGUCAAAUUAAUUUCUUAAUAAUGUGUAUUCUUGGUUCCGUAAAAAAAAAUUAUAAUUUAAUUGUCCAUUCUUUGAAAUGUAUAUGCGAUUUUAAUUCUUCAUGCUCUUAAAAUUGUAUUAAUAUUGAAAAAGUACAAGAAAUAAAAUAUCUUGGAUUAGUUUUAGAUUAUAAAUUAAAAUGGGAUAAACAUAUAUUUUCAAUUAACAAUAAAUUAUUCAAAUAUUUCUAUAAUUUCAAAGAAGCUAAAUAUAUAUUUAAUAAUUCCUAUAAAAGAAUUAUAUUUUAACUUAAAUUCUAUCUUUUUAUUCGUAUGUUAUAUCUCUUUGGUGAGGAACUUUUAAUAAUCAUUUAAAUAAACUUAAUAUUACUAUAAAUUGUGUCAUACAAUUUUUAUUAAUUCUACCUAAUUUAACUAGUACUGCAUUAAUAUUUAAAGUACUUAAUGUGAAAAAUCUGAAAUGUAUUCAUAAUUUCUCUGUUUUAAUCCAGCUAUAUAAACAUAAACACUUAAUUCCUAUUUUUGAUAAUGAACACAAAACUAGAUUUAAACAUAAUAUUUAUAUACGUUUACCAAAUUGUGUAAAAGUUUAUGGACAAAAAAGUGUAUUUUAUAUUUAUAUGGGUCUGAAAUUAUGUUUAACUUUUAAUAUGAAUAAUUUUAGUAAUUUAAUUAUUUUUAAGAAGUAUAUUAAACAUUUAGAUUUAGCUUGUUCUUAAAUUAAUUUAUUUUAUGUUAUUUAUUUAUCAUUUUUUCUAAAAUGUUUAAUUAAUUUUGCUUACUAUAUUUUGUAUUAAAUUUACAUUAAUUUAUUUCUGCUGAACAUGAUACUUUAAAAUGGAAUAUUCCACUGUAUUCCUAUAUUUUUGACUUUACAUACUAUUUAUUUGUUCAUACCAAAUUUUAUUGUAUUACAUUGUUUUCUUUUAUAUUCUUAAGAAUUGCUCCCCCAGCACAAGCUUUGUUUACUGACGGUGCUGCAAUAUUGUAUUUAUAAUUGUAUAAUUUGAUGUAAAAACUUGCAAUGUUGCAAUAAAUGUAUCAUUAUUAUUAUUAAAAAUUAAUUUAUUAACCAAUAAAAAUUAAUGUUAUGUAUGAAUAUGA
This is a long non-coding RNA of Rhopalosiphum padi (bird cherry-oat aphid), 4036 nucleotides long. RefSeq lists it as uncharacterized. NCBI's taxonomy places the organism in Eukaryota, Metazoa, Arthropoda, Insecta, Hemiptera, Aphididae. The transcript is spliced from 2 exons. The record is from RefSeq and is a predicted model, not a curated record.